Molecule: ribosomal RNA, 292 nt
Filed under: Diplapion westwoodi
Lineage: Eukaryota; Metazoa; Arthropoda; Insecta; Coleoptera; Brentidae
Description: partial 16S ribosomal RNA
Source: RNAcentral
UUUCAAACCGGUGUAAGCCAGGUUGGUUUCUAUCUCUAAUUAGUUAAAAUAUUUUAGUACGAAAGGACCAAAUAUUUGAUUAAAAAUUUUAUAUUAGAAUAAAAUUGUUAUUUUGGCAGAAUAGUGCAAUAGAUUUAGAAUCUUUAUAUGUAAUUUUUUUACAAAUAAUACUUGUUAAUAAAAGAUUUAAUUUUAAUAAUAUUUUCCAGAGUAAUUUUAAUAUUAUGUGUUAUAAUUGGGGUUGCCUUUUUAACUUUAUUAGAACGUAAGAUUUUAGGAUAUAUUCAAAUUC